GACGAACGCUGGCGGCGUGCUUAACACAUGCAAGUCGAGCGGUAAGGCCCUUUCGGGGGUACACGAGCGGCGAACGGGUGAGUAACACGUGGGUGACCUGCCCUCAGCUCUGGGAUAAGCCUGGGAAACCGGGUCUAAUACUGGAUAUGACUCCAUGACGCAUGUUGUGGGGUGGAAAGCCUUGUGCGGCUGAGGAUGGGCCCGCGGCCUAUCAGCUUGUUGGUGGGGUGANGGCCUACCAAGGCGACGACGGGUAGCCGGCCUGAGAGGGCGACCGGCCACACUGGGACUGAGACACGGCCCAGACUCCUACGGGAGGCAGCAGUGGGGAAUCUUGCGCAAUGGGCGAAAGCCUGACGCAGCGACGCCGCGUGGGGAUGACGGCCUGGUGUAAC
RNAcentral lists this ribosomal RNA (395 nucleotides) under uncultured bacterium. RNAcentral's name for it is "bacterial SSU rRNA". It matches the Rfam family "Bacterial small subunit ribosomal RNA", at positions 28 to 429 of the family's 1533-position model. The record is from RNAcentral.